AGAGUUUGAUCCUGGCUCAGGACGAACGCUGGCGGCGUGCCUAACACAUGCAAGUCGAGCGGAGAUGUACUGACGGAAAGCUUCGGCUGGAAGACGGUACAUUUUAGCGGCGGACGGGUGAGUAACGCGUGAGCAACCUUUCCUUCACAGGGGGAUAAGAUACCGAAAGGUGUUCUAAUACCGCAUGAGACCACAGAGCCACAUGGCCCAGGGGUCAAAGGAGGAAUCCGGUGAAGGGUGGGCUCGCGUCCGAUUAGCUAGUUGGUGAGGUGACGGCCCACCAAGGCGACGAUCGGUAGCCGACCUGAGAGGGUGAUCGGCCACAUUGGAACUGAGAGACGGUCCAAACUCCUACGGGAGGCAGCAGUGGGGAAUAUUGGGCAAUGGGGGAAACCCUGACCCAGCAACGCCGCGUGAAGGAAGAAGGUCUUCGGAUCGUAAACUUCUAUCCUCGGUGAAGAGGAGAAGACGGUAGCCGAGAAGGAAGCCCCGGCUAACUACGUGCCAGCAGCCGCGGU
This 518-nucleotide ribosomal RNA is filed under the name uncultured bacterium. Its description in RNAcentral is "bacterial SSU rRNA". It matches the Rfam family "Bacterial small subunit ribosomal RNA", at positions 8 to 521 of the family's 1533-position model. The record is from RNAcentral.